ACCAGGCCCCCUCCAAACACUGUGCUCCAGAGGAUCUGAAAGAUUCCUCCCAGGAUGGUGAAGAGCAACUGGAAUAGCCCCACGAACAGCAUCCAGAAAAAGGAGAAGAGCACCUUCACCAGCUCCUUCGCAGUCAUCUUUUUCACGUUCCUGUACUGCUUCCUGAGGUUCUUCAGGGUUGCUCUCUUCAGGAAGUCGGUGACAUUCCUCUUCACAGAGGCACAGGCCAUAGCAAAUGCAGAGGCCGGCUCAAGAGACCCGUCUUCUUCCUCUUCACCCGCAAUUUCUAACACGUAAGAAGAAUCUUCAUCUUCUUCCUCCUCUUCUGGCCUGUCAGCUGAAUCGGAUUCAGAGAUCUGAGAUGCUAACUGCAUUUCAAAGAUGGUGUCCUCACAGAAGUUCACAAACAGCUCCAUCUUUUCCUGCUCCCCACCUUCAUUGACAACAUCAAAAAUGAACUGUCGCUUAGAUUCCUUCACCUGGGGCUUCUCCCACUGAGUGCGACUGGAUUCACUGAUCUCAAAAUAAACACGCUCAAUCUUCUUGGCCCCACCCAUGAUCUCGAUGCGUCCUAGGUAGGGUUCGAAGUAAUUUAGCACACUUUCUGCUGGGUCCAACAGACACUUCAGGCGGGAAUCGUUUGGCAUGUGUUCAGAAAGAUUUGUCAAUAACACAGCCACAUUAAACCCUAUGUCCUUGGCUGGCUCAUGGAACCGGUCUACAAAAUCAACGUAAUUAAACAUGUCAUUCUCAUCAGCUUCUGCACACGACAGGAGAAAGUCAAUCUCUGACUGCGUGUACUGUUUUUGCCCUUCCAUGGCCUUCUGGAAUUCUUUUUUGGAGAUAAUUCCUUUACCAUCUGGGUCAUAUUCUUUGAAGGUGUCUGAGCUGGUUAAGUCUUUAAGUUUCAAGAACAUGUCAAAGAAUUUCAAGAUCAUUUCUACAUUGGUAGAUGAUUCUACCAGUGUGUCAACCAUCUGCUUGCCAAUGGUGCCAUUUACCACAUUCCCUGUGAGGCAGGUUCAAAAAGACAUACAAAUAUACAAAUAAACCCAAGCUAUCAUGUCACUUGUCAGGUAGCUAUUUUUAGAAGACUUUUGUGCCAAAUUAGUCAGCUCUUCUCUGACCGUGAUGAUGUAGGAGGGAGCAGCAAGCCAUAAAGACUACACCACUAGGAGCCAAGGGGGAAAGAAACAAAGGGAAGAAGGAGGUGGCCACACCACUGCCUUUAACAUGGCCUGGGGCCUGGGAAGUGGUUUCAUUAUUAGAUUAUCAGGGACACAUAGGGAUACAUGGUGUCCCUUUGAUCCCCUUAGACCUAGGAGGGUGCCCAACUAGAUGGCUGGCAUACACACUGGCAGCCAGAUGUGUUGAAAAGCAAUGGGGAGAGGGAGAGGAUAGGGAAGAGCAAAGCUUGGAGGUUUUCCCCAGUUCAUUCUGGCUUUCCUAUUGAUAGAAAAUCAAUUGAUUUCAGGCUUCGUCCGUCAGACCAGGUGCCCCUCAUUUUAUUUUUCGUUUCUGAAAAUUUGGCUUUCUGACCAAUGUCAUAUGGCAUCAGUGACCUGCCAGAAGGAUAAUCUGCAUGAUCAGUAAGGUUAGUGCUCAGACCAAUUACAGUUGUGUGAAGGCCUAGUUAUACCAAACAGCCCAACCUUCCAGGAGGGACAGAAGCAUCACCACCAUGUCCUGAAGGAGAUCCAAGAGUUCCUUCAGCAGCUCGAUCUGACUGGAAUCCUAGAACAGAAACAGGAGAUACCCCUGAGCUAUCUGAUCCCUCAGUAAAGUACAGGGCAGUGAGCGAGAAGAGCCUGCUCUGGAAAGGUUAGGUGCAGGCUGCAUCAGUGUCGGGAAAGAGCUUCCUUCUCAUUCUGAAUGAGGAUGCCUUAUCGUCCACUGUUUGCAGCACCGGGAGACUCACUGUAGCAGGACUCAUCCAACAAAGCUCCUUUAAAUGGAAUAAAAUGGAGGCUAUUCCUCUGGAUGGUUUUGAUACCAGUCUGUUUGGUUUUAAUUUCAGCAAUGCAGGAAGAGCAUCGCUAAGCUACCUCCGUGCCUUAUACCCUAUGUCACAGUAGGAAACAAUUCUUGGAAGAUCUGAGGUGGGCAAUCUG
This 2111-nucleotide long non-coding RNA is filed under the name Homo sapiens (human). Its description in RNAcentral is "HSALNT0380514". The record is from RNAcentral. Lineage: Eukaryota; Metazoa; Chordata; Mammalia; Primates; Hominidae.